UUUUACUCAACCAAACUGUACUCUCUUCUCCUUAUUUUACGCAAGUUUUGUACCUGUUCCGCCGAUCGAUCGAGUCAUCAAAGCACUGUUGUAGCGGCUGUUGCGGAGAUGAUGUUUGAGCAGCUGCAUAGAGUACUUUGAAGAACUGUUUCUGCGGCUUCUCCCGUAACUAAUUUGAAGGUUCACUAUUUGAACGGCGCCACAAAGUCCUCUUCUGAUAGAAGAACUGUUCUAGCGGCUGUGUAUAAAAAGUUUUUGGGAAGGAUAGAAAGAAGCAGUCAUGCGAUUUCCUUGCUUGUGUUUGGGCAUUCUUCGCUAGAUGUUUGAGGAAGCUAUGGAGCUUUGAUCAGCUCAUACCUUAUUCACUAUUAUCUUCUCUGCAAGGUUAGUUUUCCUCUAGCUUCUAUUUUCAUGACUUCAUAAGUUCGUUUUGCUUACCCACAUGGCCACACAUGCUUUUGUUCUGUACAUAAUGCAUGCUGAAACACCUAUUCAGUCUUCAGACAAAGGAGACGCGUGAUUUGGUCUUUUCUGGGGUUUACUAUCUUGGAGGUAAAUUUACGUUGGUUGUAAGUUUCUAUGAUCUAUGAUUUGUGUGGUAUGGUAAGAUAAUUGUAAGUUUGCUUUAGUAUUGCUGCUUUAAAUAAUACAUGUACUCCAUCUAUGAUCUCACGAUGAUCGUUAAAUCACACAAAUCACUAGAUUUUACAACAUGUCACUGAAUCACGAGGCUUAGAAGGCUAGAAACGCUACAUGAACAAACAGUGGUAUAUUCUAUUUUUCAUUUCUUUGGGCCUCGGUAAUUAUAAGAUUGUGUAGGAGGGAACUGUAUACUCUAAUUGUUAGAGAAGCCACAAAUGGCAAAGACUCUUUAUGCCGCAUCUUAGCUCAAACUAGGGACUCCAUUGCACGAGCUUGUCCCUGCCACAUAAAUGGUAACAUUAUUCACAACCACUAGGAAUGAGUCACUAAAGAGAAUUUCUAUGGAAGUAUAUUGCUCCCAAGUGAUUAAUAUAAGGAAAUAUAGGCAUGGGGAUUUUGUUUUUAGAUUGUAAGGAUAAUCUAUACUGUCCUUGUCCUCUCUUGUUUAGUCAUGUUUUAAACUUAGGUCUGUUUUGGUUUUUUUUUUUAUAUUCGUUUACUUUUUCCCUGGUGUUUCUUAUUCUCGAUUUGUUUUGGUGUAUGCUUUAGGUUCUUUUGUAUGAUUCCUUAUUGCUUCAUUUAUGUGUUGACGAUUAGGGCUAUAACAAAGAAGUGUGAUUUGGUUUGUUCUUGGAAGGAGAAGUGUGCUAUGGUCUGUUCGUAGCGUUUCUUUUUUGUUGAGGGAAUAGAGUUGUUUGUAAGUAGAACACUGCAAACAAUUCCAAUGCAGAAAUCUAUGAAUCAUAGACAAGAUGCUAAUUGGUAUGUCUGCGUUGGGACUUCGAUGUAUCAACAUCAUUGUGAGGGUGCUACUAACAGUUGUGCAAAAACAGAGUAACUUCGU
Molecule: long non-coding RNA, 1486 nt
Organism: Rhododendron vialii
Lineage: Eukaryota; Viridiplantae; Streptophyta; Magnoliopsida; Ericales; Ericaceae
Exons: 3
Source: RefSeq, a predicted model, not a curated record